UUCUAUGGCGGGCCGUGUGAGGCAGGCUUCGGCCUGGCCGGCAUCUUCGUGGGCCGGUUUCUCACCCUCGCACGGUCCGCCUCCAAA
Molecule: non-coding RNA, 87 nt
Filed under: Pseudomonas indica
Lineage: Bacteria; Pseudomonadati; Pseudomonadota; Gammaproteobacteria; Pseudomonadales; Pseudomonadaceae
Source: RNAcentral